Molecule: long non-coding RNA, 2954 nt
Organism: Apis cerana (Asiatic honeybee)
Lineage: Eukaryota; Metazoa; Arthropoda; Insecta; Hymenoptera; Apidae
Source: RefSeq, a predicted model, not a curated record
UUUCAUUCCGAUGGAAAUGUAAAAUAUUGAUAAAAAUUUUCUUGAUUUAAAUUUUAUUUUCAGGUUUAGUCUUCUUCGUCGGCUCCUUUUGUUGCUUGUGUUGCACAACGAUCAAAAGUUUGGACGUUUUGCAAAUGUAAUUUUCUAUUUUAAUAAUAAAUCUAAUUUUUACAUUCAAAAAAUAUUUUACGUAUAAAUUAAUGUUUCAUAUAACUUAACUGAACUUAACUGUAUGCUAGCGCAUAUGGUAAGAGAUAAGGAAUUAGUGCCAUCUUUAGAGUGCCGUAAAUGAAACCAUAGGUAAAGAGAAGAAAUAGUGCGAGAAGGAUAGAGAUAAGGAUUCCAAGCAACAACAAUUAUAAUAUACAUACAUAAUAUUUUAAUUUUUCGCGCGUUUUUGAAUGGAAAAAUAAGCAUCAUGCGCCAGCCAAUCAGAACGUCGCUUAAUUCUUGGCGCGAGACGAACCAGUGCGCAUCACACUGCGCAUCAUACUGCGCAUGGCGUUAGUCUACAGUUGAAAAUUGUGUGGAGUGGACGUGUCGUCGCGAAUUCGGAUUAUUAGGUUUAAUUGGUAGCGUCAUGAUGGUAGCUCUCGGGAAGGCGGGAAAAAUUCCAAUAUGGACGCCUUUCUUGAUGUGGUAAAAUUUUAUAUUUCGUAUGAAUUGAAGAAAAUAAACAGGAAAAAAUAGAUAGCAAAUAACGUGAGAUCUCUUCAUUUGUUGAAAAUUAAUUACUUUUGUUAUUGAAUUUCACUAAUUCUGUUAUUUCACUAAGUCUGUUUCAGGUAUCCUCUUCACCUUUCAACGAAAUGGAUUACAUUUCAUCAUCAGAUAAAUAUUCUAAUUUUUAUAUUAGGUAGGGUAGGUUGUAAAAAACAUGGGAUUUAUAAACUGUGUUUUGUUCUUCUUUUUAUUAAAAAAGGCAAUUUCGCCUUUCCUACUCUGUUUCGUUUUCCAAACCAAUAGUUUUCCUAUUUUUCAAGGCAAUAUGAUCAUCCUGCCAUCCUUAACUUCCUCCUUAUAAGCAAAUACUUGAUACUUGAUAGUUAUGUGACUUUGUCCACUAGCUAUCAUAUCAUUGAUGUAUCCUGAUUUGCAUUUUCCUCUUGCCACAUGUAGUUUAUCUCGUAUCAAAUUUUGUGUAUCGUCAGUGUGAAUGUAGAUAUUGUUAUGAAGAGUAUUUGUUAGAUUUUCAAUAAAGAGAAUUACAAACAAAAUGUUUAAUUUUUAUAUUAGGGAAGAGAGGGAGAAAUGUUUUUUAGAAUAAGUAAAAUGUUGAUGUUGUACUUUUAAUUUAAGUUUGUUUCAGGAUUUUCUUGCAGGGGAAGAAGAUUUUGUUGAAGAUGAUAUUGAUUAAAAAGAAAACGUUUUUAAAAUCAAGUACAUGUACAAUCAAGAUACUACUUUAUUAAAUAAAGUAGUAUGUUGUAGAAAAGUAGAUACUGUAGUUAAGUAGAUGGGUGUAGUGCUUUUUGGGAUGCUUAUUUCGCUUAUUUUUUUUGUUUUUUUUUUUUUGCUCGCGCUUUUUACUAUCAAUCAUUUUUCAUUUUCAUUCCGAUGGAAAUGUAAAAUAUUGAUAAAAAUUUUCUUGAUUUAAAUUUUAUUUUCAGGUUUAGUCUUCUUCGUCGGCUCCUUUUGUUGCUUGUGUUGCACAACGAUCAAAAGUUUGGACGUUUUGCAAAUGUAAUUUUCUAUUUUAAUAAUAAAUCUAAUUUUUACAUUCAAAAAAUAUUUUACGUAUAAAUUAAUGUUUCAUAUAACUUAACUGAACUUAACUGUAUGCUAGCGCAUAUGGUAAGAGAUAAGGAAUUAGUGCCAUCUUUAGAGUGCCGUAAAUGAAACCAUAGGUAAAGAGAAGAAAUAGUGCGAGAAGGAUAGAGAUAAGGAUUCCAAGCAACAACAAUUAUAAUAUACAUACAUAAUAUUUUAAUUUUUCGCGCGUUUUUGAAUGGAAAAAUAAGCAUCAUGCGCCAGCCAAUCAGAACGUCGCUUAAUUCUUGGCGCGAGACGAACCAGUGCGCAUCACACUGCGCAUCAUACUGCGCAUGGCGUUAGUCUACAGUUGAAAAUUGUGUGGAGUGGACGUGUCGUCGCGAAUUCGGAUUAUUAGGUUUAAUUGGUAGCGUCAUGAUGGUAGCUCUCGGGAAGGCGGGAAAAAUUCCAAUAUGGACGCCUUUCUUGAUGUGGUAAAAUUUUAUAUUUCGUAUGUAUAAAUUUUUAUUCUGUUUUAUAGGAUUAUUAGUGAUUGUUGUUAAGCAAUUCAUAAUAAAAUUACGUUUUGGUUAAAAGAAAGCGAAAAAAAUUAGAAAUUUAUGAAGCACUUUCAUGAUUUAUACAUAAUUUAGCAAUAUUUUCAGAACAAAUGUACGAUAGAAAGAAGAAGAGUAAUAUCAAAAAGAUAUUGUUUCUUCUUUUAUCUCUUUCCCAUCCCACUAAUUUAAUAUUAAUUUCAGAAAAUAUUUGUGACCGCGCGCAAUGCGGUUAAUAGAAUCAGUGUUUGCUUCGUCAUAGUAUUUUUAAUAUUUUUUAGAGCACAAUAGCUCUGAUUAAAUUUAAUUAGAAUAAUCAAACGCGAAGAUAGAAUCAGUGUUUGUUCGCCGAUUAUAUUAUAAUUUAUACGGACGCGUUGUUAGUUUCUUAUUUUUAUUUUUUUCUUUUUAUAAAUAUUCGUUUUCGGUACAGAGUAGAGUCAGUGCUUCUCUCAAGAGAAUACGGCGAUCAUCCACCACGCGAAGAGAUGCUGAUGAAAGUUUUUCUUGGACUUUAGUCUUAAAAAAUAUUUGUGACCACGCGCAAUGUGGUUAAGUAGAAUCAGUGUUGCUUCGUCAUAGUAUUUUUAAUAUUUUUUAGAGCACAAUAGCUCUGAUUAAAUUUAAUUAGAAUAAUCAAACGCGAAGGUAGAAUCAGUGUUUGUUCGCCGAUUAUAUUAUAAUUUAUACGGACGCGUUAUUAGU